UACGCUGGCGGCACGCCUAACACAUGCAAGUCGAACGAAGUAGCAAUACUUAGUGGCAGACGGGUGAGUAACAUGUAGGUAUCUGCCCUUUGGCCUGGAAUAACACGAGGAAACUUGUGCUAAUACCGAAUAAGCCCUUACGGGGAAAGUUUUAACGCCGAAAGAUGAGCCCGCACUUGAUUAGCUAGUUGGUAAGGUAAAAGCUUACCAAGGCAAUGAUCAAUAGCUGUUCUUAGAGGAAGACCAGCCACAUUGGGACUGAGACACGGCCCAGACUCCUACGGGAGGCAGCAGUGGGGAAUCUUGCACAAUGGGGGAAACCCUGAUGCAGCGAUGCCGCGUGAGUGAAGAAGGCCUUUGGGUUGUAAAACUCUUUCGUCGGGGAAGAAAAUGACUGUACCCGAAUAAGAAGGUCCGGCUA
RNAcentral lists this ribosomal RNA (421 nucleotides) under uncultured bacterium. Its description in RNAcentral is "bacterial SSU rRNA". It matches the Rfam family "Bacterial small subunit ribosomal RNA", at positions 33 to 499 of the family's 1533-position model. The record is from RNAcentral.